Molecule: non-coding RNA, 2371 nt
Organism: Sus scrofa (pig)
Lineage: Eukaryota; Metazoa; Chordata; Mammalia; Artiodactyla; Suidae
Source: RefSeq, a predicted model, not a curated record
CUUUUUUCGCUUCCUUUUUUUUUUUUUUUUUUUUUAAACAAAUUUUCUACAGGAAGAGUAAGCAGUAGACUGAGCUAUGAGCUGGUGCAUUUAAUAAAAAGAGAGAGAAUUUCGGCUACUAAGACCAGGUACAUUUGGAGAGUUUGAGAUUUAAUACACUUGAAAGGCAUCUAAAAAAGCAUUUUAUACUGUAAAAAAAUUAUCAGAAAUGUUUAACAGAGCGUAUUUCAACAAUUUCAAAAUGCAAAUUUCAACUGUCAUUCUGUCAUAUCCCAUCCAACAUGUUCCUCUUCUCCACCUAUAUUCUGAGAAGCCUGGGACAGAGCUGGACAAGACCCUGUCCCUAGAGGGAGAGGAGGGAAUAGCUGGUAGCACUGGUAGCAACCCAUGGGAGCUCUGAGUCCCAGUGCCACCUGCCCCCCCCACCAAGAUCAGAACAGUCUUCAGAACAUUCAGAACCUUCUCUGAGCCAUCUAAAAGGGGGGUGGGGGAGAGGAGACAACCAACCACCCUAAUUUUAUUCCUUGCUGCAUCACCUAUUACCUGGUCUUUCUUUAAAAGAAAUCCUUUUAUGGUCCAAGAAUCUUUCUUCUUGCCUUUUUUGGGGAGAAAGCAAGUUCUCUCUGUUGAUUUUUACCAACAAAGCAAGUAAAGUUUCAUUUGCUACAUGACACUGGUUUUGGUUCCUUCACCUGUCUCAAAGGGUAGGAAAACCUAUGUUAAGGAAUGGAUUUUUAAGUAGCUAUGUCUUGAGUAGAUAUGCAAUGAUAACGUUGCUUCCUGGAGCCACAAGGGGCUUCGGCAAGUCUGCUCCAGGACGGGAUGCAAGAUGGACAGCCCAGGUGCGCUAAGGGAGGCCCUCGGAUCUGUGGCUGUUGAAAACUGACCUACCUCGAGAAUUCACCAGUCAUGGCUAAUGAAAGGGAGCGAGACAGGACUACAACGAAGUAUACGGAGAAAAAGAACACCUUCAAGAGAAGGGGGAAAAUAUUCACAGAGCUUCCCAAAGGACUUCAUCGUUUACUUCUGGGAAGAAUCUCGAACAUCACAGAAGCAGCUGCCUCGGAGAGUGAAGACCUUCCACGAAGUCGUGGGGUGGAGUUUACCCGUCUAUAAAUAGAAACAACAAUCUGCUGGCAUUUCAGUUCCUGAAAAUGACUAACAGGUACGAAGGGCCCUGAGAUCUUCAAGCAAGGAACACGGCUCUGUCUGAGAGAAAAGGCACGCACUGCACGUGGCAAAGCUAGUGGGUGACAUUUUCGCUUCGUUUCCCCACAUCCGCAAGCACCUACACACGUUACUUCUCCAGACUGUGAAGGAGAACCCUUCAUCAUUUUGAGCCUAAGCCUAUACUUUUUCCAACAAAAUGGUCCUCUGAAAAAGGAUCUGGGAUGAGAAGAUGACACGUGAUGGAAACAUCAGGAGAGAAAAGGCAGGUCUAAAAGGGGCUCUGUCAGCCUAAAUCAAUCUCGUCUAGCGGUUCCAAGAAGCCCCACAACCAGAGUUUAAGAGGAAAGAUACCAGAACACCUGACUGGCUGUCACAGUCGGCUUUACACAGGAAGACUGCCUGGGGCUUGGAACAGGAGGUUUGGGGGGGUUUCUUUUGUUUUGCUUUUCAAAGGACUCCUCCUGAUUAAUGGAACGGAAGAUGCAUGGGCAAAAAGUCACCUUUCUGGAGAAAGGCAAAGUCUGCAUUCCUUUGUCAGUUUCAAACCUUAUCCCCUUAGCUUCUGAACGUUUGUUGCCAGGUCUGAAGUUGGCCUUCGCAGAGGACAGAAAGCUAUUUCUCUUUGCCUCUCUGCCAGAAAUAUGCAAAGUUUUAUAGGAAAGACUGAGAACUGGCUUGGGGAAAGGGUCUGUGAAAGGACCAUUUGGUUGGAUACUGUGUCCAGACUUCGAACCUGGGCCCACGUGGCAGUGGCUGGCACACCACGACCCAGGAGUGCUCUGGCUUUGCUCAGGAAGAGGGGACGAUGGUAUCGAAGGUGAUGACCUAGCCGUGCAGGUAUGUACACCUCGUUUCCCAGAAAGCACAUCUGGGAACAGAAGCCCCUCAUUUACAGGUCCUUCCCAUCUUGCUGCGCAGGGCAAGCCAGCCAGCUCCUGGCACGAGUGAGAAGUGACCACAGAACGUAAGAGGCUGUAAGGUUCAGGGGAGGCAUGAAUGGAACUGGCAAAGUGAGGAAACAAACUAGACCCCACUGGCUACCUUACCCUACAAUCCUGCCUUCAUUUCUCCCCUCUUUGCAUCUUAUCAAGCAACUCAGCGUUCCUCAAGGUUCUUUUUCUUUUCUUUUUUUUUGUCUUUUUGCCAUUUCUUGGGCUGCUCCUGUGGCACAUGGAGGUUCCCAGGCUAGGAGUCAAAUUGG